Molecule: ribosomal RNA, 370 nt
Filed under: uncultured bacterium
Lineage: Bacteria
Description: bacterial SSU rRNA
Rfam family: Bacterial small subunit ribosomal RNA
Source: RNAcentral
AGAGAGUGCAAACGUUGUUCGGAAUUACUGGGCUUGAAACGCACGUAGGCGGCGUUGUAAGUGUCGGGUGAAAUCCCACGGCUCACCCGUGGAACUGCCCGGCAUACUGCGAUGCUAGAGUGUGGUAGGGGAGAGCGGAACUCCUGGUGGAGCGGUGAAAUGCGUAGAUAUCAGGAGGAACACCGGUGGCGAAGGCGGCUCUCUGGUCCACAACUGACGCUGAGGUGCGAAAGCUAGGGGAGCAAACGGGAUUAGAUACCCCGGUAGUCCUAGCUGUAAACGAUGGGCACUAGCUUGGGGUCUCCCUGUGUGAUCCCAGGUGAAGCAAAAGUGAUAAGUGCCCCGCCUGGGGAGUAUGGUCGCAAGGCUG